Molecule: ribosomal RNA, 253 nt
Filed under: uncultured bacterium
Lineage: Bacteria
Description: partial 16S ribosomal RNA
Rfam family: Bacterial small subunit ribosomal RNA
Source: RNAcentral
UACGUAGGGUGCGAGCGUUAAUCGGAAUUACUGGGCGUAAAGCGUGCGCAGGCGGCUUCGCAAGUCAGACGUGAAAUCCCCGGGCUUAACCUGGGAAUGGCGUUUGAAACUACGGAGCUGGAGUAUGGCAGAGGGGGGUGGAAUUCCACGUGUAGCGGUGAAAUGCGUAGAUAUGUGGAGGAACACCGAUGGCGAAGGCAGCCCCUUGGGCCAAUACUGACGCUCAUGCACGAAAGCGUGGGGAGCAAACAGG